This 85-nucleotide transfer RNA is filed under the name Felis catus (domestic cat). It matches the Rfam family "tRNA". From Rfam's summary of the family: Transfer RNA (tRNA) molecules are approximately 80 nucleotides in length. Their secondary structure includes four short double-helical elements and three loops (D, anti-codon, and T loops). Further hydrogen bonds mediate the characteristic L-shaped molecular structure. tRNAs have two regions of fundamental functional importance: the anti-codon, which is responsible for specific mRNA codon recognition, and the 3' end, to which the tRNAs corresponding amino acid is attached (by aminoacyl-tRNA synthetases). tRNAs cope with the degeneracy of the genetic code in two manners: having more than one tRNA (with a specific anti-codon) for a particular amino acid; and 'wobble' base-pairing, i.e. permitting non-standard base-pairing at the 3rd anti-codon position. Lineage: Eukaryota; Metazoa; Chordata; Mammalia; Carnivora; Felidae. The record is from Rfam by way of RNAcentral.
GCCUGGGUGGCUCAGUCGGUUGAGCAUCCGACUUCAGCUCAGGUCACGAUCUCACGGUCCGUGAGUUCGAGCCCCACCUCAGGCU